UAAUACGUAGGGAGCAAGCGUUGUCCGGAAUUACUGGGCGUAAAGGGCGCGUAGGCGGGGAUUUAAGUUAGAUGUGAAAACACCGGGCUUAACUUGGUGACUGCAUUUAAAACUGGAUUUCUUGAGGGCAGGAGAGGAAAGUGGAAUUCCUAGUGUAGCGGUGAAAUGCGUAGAUAUUAGGAGGAACAUCAGUGGCGAAGGCGACUUUCUGGACUGUACCUGACGUUGAUGCGCGAAAGCGUGGGGAGCAAACGGG
RNAcentral lists this ribosomal RNA (256 nucleotides) under uncultured bacterium. RNAcentral describes it as "partial 16S ribosomal RNA". It matches the Rfam family "Bacterial small subunit ribosomal RNA", at positions 521 to 776 of the family's 1533-position model. The record is from RNAcentral.